UUAUCCCUGGCAGAGACCACUGAAUUAUCUCUAAAUCACACGGUAUCUUGAAAAUUUUUAUCCAAUUAUGAGAAUGCCUCUUUCUAACCACACAUGUGAUUACUAAAAUAGGUAUUGAGAUACCACAAAUUAGUGAGAACUUUAUCUUUGGAAGUAUAUGCCAUCAAAAGUGAAACCUUUUCUUCCUUUCUUUCGCGUCUUCCUUUCUCACUGCAAAAUUAGAUCUGCCUCCACGAUUCUUAUUUAAAUUGGCACGACACUCAGAUCGGUAGUGUUCAAAUUGAUGGCAUUGAUAGCAUUCAAGUUGAAACUUGGCAUGUCUUUUUGCCCUUUUCUUU
RNAcentral lists this long non-coding RNA (338 nucleotides) under Capsicum annuum. Its description in RNAcentral is "long non-coding RNA (CANN_LNC021830)". Lineage: Eukaryota; Viridiplantae; Streptophyta; Magnoliopsida; Solanales; Solanaceae. The record is from RNAcentral.